This 69-nucleotide transfer RNA is filed under the name Durgades nigropicta. RNAcentral's name for it is "tRNA-Leu". Lineage: Eukaryota; Metazoa; Arthropoda; Insecta; Hemiptera; Cicadellidae. The record is from RNAcentral.
UCUAAUAUGGCAGAAAUCAAUAUGCAGUGAAUUUAAGAUUCAUUUAUAAAUAAAUAUAUUUUAUUAGGA